UGCCAGCAGCCGCGGUAAUACCAGCUCUCCGAGUGGUGUGGACGUUUAUUGGGCCUAAAGCAUCCGUAGCUGGCUGAGCAAGUCCCCUGUUAAACCCACCGAUUUAAUCGUUGGCGUGCGGGGGAUACUGUUCGGCUAGGGGACGAGAGAGGCAGGCGGUAUUCCCGGGGUAGGGGUGAAAUCCUAUAAUCCCGAGAAGACCACCAGUGGCGAAGGCUGCCUGCUAGAACGCGCCCGACGGUGAGGGAUGAAAGCUGGGGGAGCGAACCGGAUUAGAUACCCGGGUAGUCCCAGCUGUAAACGAUGCAGACUAGGUGUUUGGACGGCCACGUGCCGUUCUAGUGCCGCAGGGAAGCUGUUAAGUCUGCCGCCUGGGGAGUACGAUCGCAAGAUUGAAACUUAAAGGAAUUGGCGGGGGA
RNAcentral lists this ribosomal RNA (419 nucleotides) under uncultured bacterium. Its description in RNAcentral is "bacterial SSU rRNA". It matches the Rfam family "Archaeal small subunit ribosomal RNA", at positions 456 to 875 of the family's 1478-position model. The record is from RNAcentral.